GUUCCCUCCUCUCUCUCGGUUUCCUCCUCUCUCUCGGUUUCCUCCUCUCUCUCGGUUUCCUCCUCUCUCUCGGGUUCCUCCUCUCUCUCGGUUUCCUCCUCUCUCUCGGUUUCUUCCUCUCUCUCGGUUUCUUCCUCUUUCGGUUUCUUCCUCUCUCUGUUACUUCCUCUCUCUCGGUUACUUCCUCUCUCUCGGUUUCUUCCUCUCUCGGUUUCCUCCUCUCUCUCGGUUUCCUCCUCUCGGUUUCCUCCUCUCGGUUUCUUCUCUCUCUCGGUUUCUUCUCUCUCUCGGUUUCUUCCUCUCUCUCGGUUUCCUCCUCUCUCUCGGUUUCUUCUCUCUCUCGUUACCUCCUCUCUCGGUUACUUCCUCUCUCGGUUACUUCCUCUCUCUCGGUUUCCUCCUCUCUCUCGGUUUCUUCCUCUCUCUCGGUUCCUUCCUCUCUCUGGUUUCUUCCUCUCUCUCGGUUCCUUCCUCUCUCUGGUUUCUUCCUCUCUCUCGGUUCCUUCCUCUCUCUCGGUUUCUGCCUCUCUCUCGGUUUCUGCCUCUCUCUCGUUUUUUUCCUCUCUCUCGGUUUCUUCCUCUCUCGGUAUUUUCC
Long non-coding RNA from Oncorhynchus tshawytscha (Chinook salmon), 595 nucleotides. The record is from Ensembl. Lineage: Eukaryota; Metazoa; Chordata; Actinopteri; Salmoniformes; Salmonidae.